UUUUCCUUCCAGUUGUCUCCAUGACCCUGAAACAGCUCUUUCACUUGGGCAGGAGGAAGAGCCCCAGAUGUAAGCCUCCCUCGGACACUUCUGGUCUGCAGGGGAGUUACGCACUGGAAGCGGAAACGCCCGCUUCCGCUGGACGCAAGAAGGCCUCACACUAGGCCCUGGAGCCUGCAGGGAGGAAUCUCCGCUGUGAUACUGUGAAGACUAUAUCUAGGUCCAUCAAGUCAUGAUUUCCAGGGCUGCCGAAUGGACGGUCAUCACCAUCAUCAUGAGCGUGUAAGUGUUUACUGUGUACCAGGCACGAAUCACUUCAUACAGAUGGACUCACUGAAUCCUCGUGACCACUCUGCGAGACGGGUACUGGUUAUUCCCAUUUCUCAGAUGAGGACGCUGGGGCACAGAGAUGAUGCGUAAUGCGUUCAAGAUCGCAUGAAGUCCAUCCUUUCCAGCUUGAUUAUGGAGCCCUUUCUAUGAGCCUUUCUUCUAUUUCAUGACGCUCCAUCCUCCUUCAUAUUUCCCUGUCUUUGUGCCUGGGACCUGGCAUGUUGUGAUUCCAUCAUUGUUACGUCUUCAUUCAUCAAGACUCUGUCCCCAAACCAUUUUCUCCGUGAGAACUCAAAACUCCUCAGACAGAGUUGGCCGCUCCCACCUCUGUGAUGAUUCUAAACCUUGUACACACCUGCCCUGCUAUGGGACAGUUCCUGCUUUAUUUCACAAUGGAGCAGUUUUUUUUUCAUUAACAGUUAAGGCAGAAGUGGACUUGGCUUCCUCUUGACCCCUUUUAAAAUUGUCUGAAAAUUAAGUAUCACCAGUGUCCAAGCAAGGACACAUCCCUAUUGAAUUUUAGGCGGCUAUUUGUUUAUAACUUAAUAUAUUCAUAUUUUUAGGUUAGAGAACUAGCUCUUACCCAUAUUCUCUAAGAAUGUAAUAAGAGCUACUUGCCUUUUAAAAUUAUUGAUGUGUUAGGAUUUAGGUUGGAAUCUUCUGUGGUUUUAUAAAAAUUACCCGUCAUUGAUUGAGCGCAAACAGAAGACGAGUGGGAAGGAGGUGGUCCACGCAGCUACGGCUGCCUGGACUUGGGCCGUUACCUGCUGG
Mustela lutreola (European mink) is the source of this 1101-nucleotide long non-coding RNA. RefSeq lists it as uncharacterized. The record is from RefSeq and is a predicted model, not a curated record. The transcript has 3 exons. NCBI's taxonomy places the organism in Eukaryota, Metazoa, Chordata, Mammalia, Carnivora, Mustelidae.